This 2064-nucleotide long non-coding RNA is filed under the name Equus caballus (horse). RNAcentral's name for it is "lncRNA (ENSECAG00000050659.1)". Lineage: Eukaryota; Metazoa; Chordata; Mammalia; Perissodactyla; Equidae. The record is from RNAcentral.
GAAGUCCAUGGAUUUCUAGAGGGUCUGCUUGAACUUUUAUGCAAAAUGUACACAUGAAGGUCUAAGAUCCAGGUUUUCAUGGAUUCUCAAAGAGGUAGACUGCCUCCAAAAGAGGUGAAGACUGGCAUGGAGAGUGUCAGAUAACCCUGGUGCCUCACCAUGUCCUUAGACGCCCUGUGGUGUCCCCAAAGCACUUCCUGUUGAAUCUCCCCGUGUUCUGGACUAGCAUGAAGUGCCGAGCCCAGUCUUGACACUAGUGAGGGUUUAGUGAGCAAAUCCACGAAAUAGGAAAUGCUGAACUAUCCAGUUCCAACUUUUCCACCACUUAACCCUUAUCUCUUCAUCUGUCAGAAAGAGGAGAGGGAUCUGUGUUUUAUUGUACUCUGUGCCAUUACAGGAUAUUUUUGAAAAUAUAAUCAUGAUUCUUACACAAACAUAAAAGGAACAAGCAUCAAGGAUUAUAUUUAAUUCAUUAAUUAAUGAGGGAACUGGCAAGAUGUUAUGACAGUCUAAGAAGAGAUCUCAAAAUACCACACAUUUAUAUGCAGAUAAGGGAUGCUGAAAUGAAUUUACAAAUAGUGCAAAACUGGCACAGCUGGUCAAUAUUCACAAAGUGAUAAUCACUUGCAUCCGACCAGACAGUUUGCAUUUCUAUGCACAGGAUUUAAUUACAUUACUAUUAGUUUUGUAAGAGUUAACUUCUCUCUCCCCAGAGUUCUAGAAUAGUCCAAGACAAAGGUAGAAAUAACCAGGAUAAAUGUACCAGCCAGUACACACUAAAUUUCAAAGUCUUUCACAAUUGCUCCUUAUGGUGUCUUAUUCUUAGGAUGUUUUCUUUGAGACAAGCCUUAUAUGUUAGCAGCCCCCAAUUCAGUGUGAUUUGGGGGGCACUGAGAAGACCCCUUGUUAUGACCUAAUUCUUCCCUACCUGGUUGUAAGUUACCUGAAACUCCACCCCAGGGGCUUUAGCCUUUGAUCCGACCUUGAUUUAUCCCAGUCAGAACCCCCACAAAGAGCAAUGUUUCCAAGGUGCCUUGUGCACAGAGCAUUUUCACAUCUGACUCUAACAACAACCCAUUUUACAAAUGAUGAGACCUGGAGGCUAGCUCGAGGUGACGUAUACCUAGUGGGGACUUGCACCCAGUUCUUCUGAUUUCAGAAGAUGUCCACUUUCUGCUGUGCUAACAAGCCUUAGAAGGGCAGCAUCUGGGUGAGGUUCUAUUGGAGGCAGACAGAGGACCGGAAAAGGACUCACACUUGCUCACAAUGUGGAUGCACUAGACAUAAUCGACGAAAUGGGUAAUUCAUGACUCACACAUUUAUUUAUUUAAGGACCUACCUUGUGCCAGGCGCCAGGGUCAUAGUAUUGAACAAGGCAGACAGAGGCCCUGUCCUUGGGAACUUAAGUUCUAGUAGGGAGGACAUACAUCAACAACUAAAUACACUAUGAAUUAUUCACUUAAAACUGUUGGAAGUGCUACAAAGAACGGUAGAAUGUGUUGUGGAGAUAUUCUUGAGCUGAAGAGCCUUCCCCCAUCCGGCUUAGACUCCCUCUCUCCCUGCCUUAAGAGGAAGUAGAGUAGGUAACUUGAACAUCAUUUCUGAAAAUUUACUGACUCCUAAGUUAUUCUUAGUCACCCUUAUUUUAGCAUAAAUGAAUUUAGAUCCUUUCUUGAAAGAGGGAGUGGAUAUAAAAGGGUGUAAGAAUGGGAAAAAUAGAACUGAUAUAGUCAAUAUUAUCUUCAGAGUAUGGGAAAUCUGGAUGCCACGCAGAGCUGCAGGGCCUGACUUUGUGUUCCUACAGGCAAAACUAGAAGCCCUGGAAGGGGAAGAAAUGGGGAUGCAAUGGGAGCUACUCACCAUCUGAAGUGUAAGAACUCCAUGGAGAAAGACCAGCAGACUCACACACCAGGCCAUGCUGAGGUGCUGAAAGCAUAAAUGAAACUUUCUAAUUCAAAUAAAUAAAUGUGUGUAUAUGUGCAUAGAUGAUGUCUUGAUAAUAAAUAAAUAAUAAAUAUGUCUUGAUAUGUAUUGAUAAUAAAUAAAUAAUAAAUAAAUAAAAAA